This 305-nucleotide unclassified non-coding RNA is filed under the name plant metagenome. RNAcentral describes it as "partial contains 5.8S ribosomal RNA, internal transcribed spacer 2, and large subunit ribosomal RNA". The stretch from base 1 to 105 matches the Rfam family "5.8S ribosomal RNA", at positions 50 to 154 of the family's 154-position model. The record is from RNAcentral.
GAAAUGCGAUAAGUAAUGUGAAUUGCAGAAUUCAGUGAAUCAUCGAAUCUUUGAACGCACAUUGCGCCCGCCAGUAUUCUGGCGGGCAUGCCUGUUCGAGCGUCAUUUCAACCAUCAAGCCCCCGGCUUGUGUUGGGGACCUGCGGCUGCCCGCAGGCCCUGAAAAACAGUGGCGGGCUCGCUGUCACACCGAGCGUAGUAGCAUACAUUCUCGCUCAGGGCGUGCUGCGGGUUCCGGCCGUUAAACGACCUUCAUAACCCAAGGUUGACCUCGGAUCAGGUAGAAAUACCCGCUGAACUUAAGC